Molecule: long non-coding RNA, 3377 nt
Organism: Equus caballus (horse)
Lineage: Eukaryota; Metazoa; Chordata; Mammalia; Perissodactyla; Equidae
Source: Ensembl
GGGCAAGGUCUGGGACUCCUGUCCCAGAGAAGUUGAUCUAAAAAGCGCUUGGUCUCUCCUAAGGAAGAGCUGUUCUUGCUUCUGUGUGUGUGUGUGUGUGUGUGUGUGUGUUGAGAGGAUGGUAUACUGGGAGGUCCUGCUUUGGCCCAGGAGGAACUAGGAGAGAACCAUACAGAGGCUGAAGUCCUUCUUUCCCUUGAUGCUCAUGGGUAACACUCAGGCUGGGAAGAUGUAGAAGCACAUAAUGUCCUCAAGAGGAGGAAGAAAAUUUCCCACCAUUGUUCCACAGGUACAGAGACCUCUCAUUCCUUCCUGGCAGCUGGAAAAACCAAAAGCUUGACCUGAUCCAUAAGUGUAAACAGAGUUGAGAGCAGGUAAGGAAAAAAAUACGUGUAAGGAGAACCAGCAACUAGAGGACAACCAAGGACACCCAGAAGUAGUUCUCAGGAAAACAGAACUUUUAGAAAAGACAGAAGUCAACUUUGACGAAAACAACAAUAGUAGGAGCAAAAAUUCAAGGAGACUUUAUCAUAGCAUAGGAAAGAUUUUUCUAGUACCUCACCCCCCCAAAAAAAAUCAAUAUAUCAACUAAAAAUGAGAAUAAUCACUUGUUGAGAACCAAAUUAGCAGCAUAGGAAAUCAAACAGAAGAAAUAUUUUAAAAUAGAGCAGAAAUAUAAAGUAAUUAAAAUGAAAAUUGUGGCUCUUCUCCCAAAAAUAUAUCUGAAAAUAAAGCUAUAUCUGAAAAUAAAAUUUUGUGUAAACUUUCAAGGAUUUGCAGAUGCACCUAAAGUAUAUCUGUGGACCCUAUGACAUAAAAAUGCAACUGAAGAUGAAAAUCCAGUUUAAAACAUGGUUUUAACUUAAAAAAUAAACGAGUCUGUCUAAGCAUCAGGAUGUCUCUCGUUACCCAAAAGCUCUCUCCAGGCCGUCGGUCUGCUCUUGCCCGGACCCUCAGACCUAUCCCUUCUGACAAUGGCCAAGAGUGGUGGGGACUGCAUUUACUGUUGGGUCCGUUAUAAGUAAGCAGGCUUCCCCACUGGAGAGCGGGGUGUAGAGAAGCUCUCCUGUCUUUUCUGAGAGGCCUUGGAGAACACUGCCCCCCGGCCUUUCGGCUGCUUUCCUGCCUCUCACUCCCCAGUCGUCUCAUCCGACAUGGCAGCACCCACAGUUGCCCCGACAGUUAGAUGAGUCUUUGCGAGGAAGGGCCUGAGUCGCCCUCCCCUCCACGUCACAUCUGUGUCUGCGCAUUCUCCGUAAAUCCUCCAUCAUCUAUACUUCCGCCUUCCAUCGUGGCUUUCCUGCAAGCAGUUUACUGAAGAAUUCUAUAGAGAUUUGUAAUUAAAGUUGCAUCCAUGUGGCACAGCUGAGAUUCAAACUCUGACUUCAAAUCCAGGAAUUUCAGACAUCAGCAAGCAGAUCAGGAGAUACUUUGCCGACAGACAAGGUCUACCAGAAAGACGCUUCUGAAGCCAUUCUUCCUUAUUUCUUCUAAUGCCGUUUCCAGGAGGGGUUCAGUUGAAGAUAACAGAAACCACUCUCGUCAGGAUAAGCAGAAAGGGAUUUAUCACCAGUUCUGAAGACUGGGAAAGCCAAGAUCAAGGUGUCAGGAGAUCCAGUGUCUGAAGAACCUCAAGAAAAAACCAUGCUGUUUCUUUCAAUGAUGAUCUAGUCUGGUGGAAACUGAACUUGCCACCUGAUAUCCCCACCGUCCGUGUAAGCGUUGUCCCUGAAGUACUUGAGGGCUCCCAAGGUGCCUGCCCUCCUCCUGCUUCGCCAGGGGUCCUCGGAACAAGUGCCCUAUUUCGUCUCCAUGGUACGACCUGCGAAACGGAGGUUACACAUUGGUUUUACACGUUGAGAAGGAGUGGUUGUGAAGGAGGAGGAAAAGGAAGGGAGAGCAGGGGGCAGAGAGAAGACAAAGGUUUGGGCCCUGCAGCCUGACGUGGGUCAGCAAGUGCUCUCGCCCAGGCCUCUGCCCCGGGAGCUGGACCCACGGCCAGGAUCUUGUCCCUGCAAGGCCAGCGUGCCCCGAAACCUGGCCUGAGGAGGACAUCAAUGGAAAUUCACACAACAGGAUGGUAAACAUGAUAAGUUGCUCGUAGUGGAAUUGCUGGGCCAAAGGGUAUUUUUAAGCCUUAAUUCCUAUCACCAAAUGGCUCUCCAAAAAGCUUUUACAUUUGGACGCUCCUGCCAUCGGAUCCUGCGAACAUCUGUUUCCACAUGCUGGUCCUCCUCUCCUCUCUCCACUUGGGCCAUGGCAUUCUUCAUAUGCUUUGUUGAUCUGGAAAAGAGAAGCUAAAUGAUAUUACUCAUUGUCAGCAAGAGUGAGGCCGAGGUGGGCUAGCCCAUAUUUGCAUAAAUCAGUAUUUCUCUGGUGCACACAGAUAAUAUCUGUCAAAAAGCUGUCUUUAGUAACCAUGUAGCUCUUGCACAGUUGGGUGGUUUAGCUAAGGAUACAAGAAAGACUACAUCUUAGGGUGUGGCUGAACCACCUGAGGGAACGAGCCUGGAUCCUUGAAUCACUGCAUGGGCAGAGAAGAAGGCACUUCCAGACAUGAAUACCCUGUGGCCUCAUAUGUGCAUAAGAGAGAAACCUGUGUUCUGUUCAGCCGCUGAAAUUUGAAGAUUUACUUAUUACAGCAGCAAAAAUUAUUCUAGUGCAUACACUCCCGUACCUACUUUGUGCUUCAGCAGUAACAACCGAUGUGCAAUUUCCCAGGUCAGCUGUGCAGCACUUCCACGUGUUUCUGCACGCUGAUCUCUCUGCUUUUGAUACCUAAUUUUCUCCAGUCUCCUAAUUCUAUCUAGUCUCUCUCCUUUCUGACCCUUUGGCCUUGAUCAGCUUGUAUUAAUCCUUAAAAUCCCAGUUCCUAAGCUUCUGUGAAGCACUGUUAUGACAGUGGGCCCCAUUCCUGCCAUGGACUUCCUGAGUUUGUCCAGAAUUCCACUUUAGCACAUGUCACAAUAUUUUAAAAUUCUCUGUUUAUAAAUAUGUCAACCUUACAACAUAGACAUUUGCCGUGUUUCUACACUUCAAAUCUCUUAGAAGAGUGGUGCUACAUAAGAGAUAAUUUAUGACUAUAUGCUGGGUCCCUAUCUAAUUAGUAUUUUGUUUAUUUUAAGUUAAUCUCAUCCAUGGAGGAUCAGAAACAGAAUCUGUUCACCACUGGAAGAUGGGGACGGCAAUGAAGGGAAGGAAUUUUGGUGUGUGAGCCUGGUUACUCACUGAAUCAUAACAUAACAGCAACACAAGCUUGCAAGUGAGAAAACAAGAGAAAAACACAUGCACUUCCACAGAUUUCUAAAUUUGGCAGAAGUUCGAAGGGAACACAGAUCCUGAUAUAGGGUCAAGGCCUGACUCCUUAGGUUGAGACC